This 327-nucleotide ribosomal RNA is filed under the name uncultured eukaryote. RNAcentral's name for it is "partial 18S ribosomal RNA". It matches the Rfam family "Eukaryotic small subunit ribosomal RNA", at positions 1470 to 1796 of the family's 1831-position model. The record is from RNAcentral.
CCCUUAGAUGUUCUGGGCCGCACACGCGCUACACUGAAGGAGGCAGCGUGUACUCCUGGAUCGAAAGAUUUGGGUAACCCGCGAAUCUCCUUCGUGCUAGGGAUUGAGGUUUGCAAUUAUCCUUCAUGAACGAGGAAUUCCCAGUAAGUGCAAGUCAUAAGCUUGCGCUGACUACGUCCCUGCCCUUUGUACACACCGCCCGCCGCUACUACCGAUUGAAUGAUUUAGUGAGGACUUCGGACUGGGACCGAUGCGGCUUUCGGGCUGCGUCGGUAUUCUGGAAAGAUGUCCAAACUGUAUCAUUUAGAGGAAGUAAAAGUCGUAACA